This 254-nucleotide ribosomal RNA is filed under the name uncultured bacterium. Its description in RNAcentral is "partial 16S ribosomal RNA". It matches the Rfam family "Bacterial small subunit ribosomal RNA", at positions 524 to 776 of the family's 1533-position model. The record is from RNAcentral.
UACGUAGGGGGCGAGCGUUGUCCGGAUUUAUUGGGCGUAAAGAGCCCGUAGGCGGUUUGGCAAGUCGGGUGUGAAAACUCCGGGCUCAACUCGGAGACGCCACUCGAUACUGCCAUGACUCGAGUCCGGUAGGGGAGUGCGGAAUUCCUGGUGUAGCGGUGAAAUGCGCAGAUAUCAGGAGGAACACCGGUGGCGAAGGCGGCACUCUGGGCCGGUACUGACGCUGAGGAGCGAAAGCGUGGGGAGCGAACAGG